GUGCUCACUUUGGCAGCACAUAUACUAAAAUUGGAACUAUACAGAGAAGAUUAGCAUAACUCUUUUGCAAGGAUGACAUGUAAUUUCGUGGAACGUUCCAUAUUUAA
Molecule: small nuclear RNA, 107 nt
Organism: Suncus etruscus (white-toothed pygmy shrew)
Lineage: Eukaryota; Metazoa; Chordata; Mammalia; Eulipotyphla; Soricidae
Source: RefSeq, a predicted model, not a curated record